GAUAAGGUUAAGUUAAUAAGGGCGCACGGUGGAUGCCUUGGCACUAGAAGCCGAAGAAGGACGUGACUAACGACGAAAUGCUUUGGGGAGCUGUAAGUAAGCGCUGAUCCAGAGAUGUCCGAAUGGGGGAACCCACUAGCUACUGGCUAGUAUCCAUAACUGUUAAGGUUAUGAGAAGGAAGACGCAGUGAACUGAAACAUCUAAGUAGCUGCAGGAAGAGAAAGCAAACGCGAUUGCCUUAGUAGCGGCGAGCGAAACGGCAGGAGGGCAAACCGAGAAGUUUACUUCUCGGGGUUGUAGGACUGCGACGUGGGACUUUAAAAGGAUAGAAGAAUUACCUGGGAAGGUAAGCCAAAGAGAGUAAUAGCCUCGUAUUUAAAAUUCUUUUGAGCCCUAGCAGUAUCCUGAGUACGGCGAGACACGCGAAAUCUCGUCGGAAUCUGGGAGGACCAUCUCCCAACCCUAAAUACUCUCUAGUGACCGAUAGUGAACCAGUACCGUGAGGGAAAGGUGAAAA
RNAcentral lists this ribosomal RNA (518 nucleotides) under Streptococcus dysgalactiae subsp. equisimilis. RNAcentral describes it as "bacterial LSU rRNA". It matches the Rfam family "Bacterial large subunit ribosomal RNA", at positions 1 to 520 of the family's 2925-position model. Lineage: Bacteria; Bacillati; Bacillota; Bacilli; Lactobacillales; Streptococcaceae. The record is from RNAcentral.